This is a long non-coding RNA of Oreochromis niloticus (Nile tilapia), 5811 nucleotides long. RefSeq lists it as uncharacterized. The transcript has 4 exons. Lineage: Eukaryota; Metazoa; Chordata; Actinopteri; Cichliformes; Cichlidae. The record is from RefSeq and is a predicted model, not a curated record.
UUGCCACAUUUAAUUAAUUAUUUAAUGUUGUAUUUAAUUAAUUCAUUAUGGCAGUCCUGGCGUUCCAUGGAUCCUGCGAGAUCUUGCGCUGAUUGCUCACGACCAUAAAAGAAAGCAUUCUAACUUGUUGCCUUUUAGUUGUGAAUGCAGACCAGAGAAGACACUACACCGAGGUCACACUUCCAGCUGUGGUGCACAUGUGGGAAGUUCUGUUGUGAUGAGGUGAAAGCUCUGCGCUGUCAGAUGAUGCAGCGAGAAGGAGAAUUAAAGAACUAUUGGCUGGCGUUCAGGAACAGUUAGUGGAUGGACGGCGUUCAUGUGAGUGAUUUUCUAUUCAGCUGGACGAAUCCACAGACAUUUCCAGUGCAGCUUAAUUGAUAGCUUCGGCUCUAUCCCUGGGAAAGACACAGUUUGGAGGAUGUUCUGUUGUGCGAGGAGGUCUCUGGCAGCACAACUGAUGAGGAAACAUUUAGACUUUUAUGACUGAAUGAAGACUGAGCUGUUUGUGUGGAUGGUGCAGCAGCAAUGAUAGAGCGGAGCUGCAGCACAGAUAAAGUCCAUCAAUGCAAGGAUCAUGGCUACCCUCUGUAUCCUGCAUCGACAAACACCAACUUCCAAAGACUUGGAUCCAGAUGUUCACUCUGUUUUUAACACAGCUAUCACUGCGGUGAAAUCCAGCUUUGGUGAAAUCUACGUGACGCACUGCGAGAUCACUCAGCGAGUAAUACGACUCACGUAUCAGUGACGGGCUGUCACUGACGCCUGUGACUGGACACGAGGACUCUGAUAUAACGGAGUUCAAAUCAGAUUCUGUAUUUGUAAGAGUGCCAUCUGUUGGUGAGGAAAUGGCAUCACAGGUAACGGUCACUAUACGGGACAUUUACAGUAGAAUAAGGGACCAGCCAAUUUUGGGACAGUUGGGAACUCUACAGGUCACGUCUGAAGAAAACAGACCUGCUGAGAAGAAGGAUACAAGAUGGAAGAACAGACAUGUUCCCACAGCUGACUGAGUUUCUGAACAAAGAGAAAGUGUCUGUUGUGAGGAACGUUGUAACCUGAUGUAGCCGGAUGGGCUACUCGCCUUUCUUUUCUCUCUCUCGCUCGCUCUCUCCUGCGCUCGCUCUCACUGCACAACUAGGUUAAUUGGGAACCCACCUUCAUAUCGAUUGCAGGCUGGCAUCAGGUAUAAAGCUAAGCCGGUGCUUCUCUUGAUCAUUCCUCCCAUGCAUUCAGCGCAAAGCAGCAGUAAAUGCUGGUACUCUGCGACAGACUGAUCAGCAAGAGUAGAUCAUAUGACAGCCACAGGUAUGCUCUUGCUUAACCUCAGAUUCCCUCCCAGUAUUGGAAUGUAUAGUAAUAGUUUUUGCGGCCUGUUGUAGCGCGGCAGUUUGUUUUAUUCCGGCGUUGCGGAGAGAGGUGCUCGUGUGAUCCCCACCAGUGAGAGUAUAGCGCCUCCGGUCCUGGGGGUUUGAUCGCUGCCUUCACCUCCGUGGCAACUCGCACAGCCUUAAUUGAAGAAUCAAGACGCCUGCCUAGCCGUUGUUGUGAGGGCUCCUCCUCGGUGGAGCCUGCUGUCUUGUCUUGUCUGGUUUUGAAUUGUUGUAUCUUGUCUUAUCUUGUUUUAUUAAGUAGGCCUACCAUUUCCUGGUUCGCCUGGUUUUAUUUUAUUUUAUCUCUGGACUGUUGCCUGUGCCCACGCUUCUGUGAUCGGGCUGAAGCAAUCCUUUGCCCGAGUGUCGUGCCGGGGAUUUUAAAUUGCCUCCGUUGCUGGUCUUAGCCUGUGGGGAGCCAGACCAGCUUGCGAUUGAGGCUGGGACAAUUACUACCAGUACGAGUGGACCCGUGGGGCAUAAGCCUUCCAGUGUGUGGACGAAGGACGUGCCAGUGGCCCUGGGACCUCAGGUGGUGGGUCGUUUUCACACUUUCUUUUGUACAGCACCUGGUGGGCUGCAGUGAUUUUCUUUUUGUGUGAUUUUCUUUUUGAGUCCACGGCUGCUGGUAAGUCCAAGUUCCAUGAUUGUUUUAUUUUCACUUUAGGACACUGUCAACAAUGACGCUACAUCUUGGUUUCUAAAUAUUUUAUUUAUUUUUACUAUAAAUAAAACUGUUUUAAUAUUGGAGCCAACCUGCCUCAGUGUGCAUCCCUUGAAUCUGUGCGGCCUCUUUUAUUCCUUUUUAUCUAUUUUUCUUAAACAUAUAUUUCCUGGGGGUGAAAUUCCCCUAGGUGGCGUUGUCAUUUUAUUAUUUCUUUUAUAACCCCGCCGACCACUUGGUCACACUAACAUCACUGUGUGAGCUCUGCAGCUCACACUUCUGUGACGUGAGCACUGAUGCCUGAGACUGGGCGCGUCGUCCAUUUUCACCAGCUGCAGCAGAACAUUGCAAACAUGCAGGGCAGAAGAACAGCUUUUAGAAGGAUCCUGGGAUAGAACAUGAAGGCCAGUCAUGCAAACGUUUGGACCUCCCUCUCACACCAGUGUCCUGAACUGGCUGCUGAGGCCAUGCAAGCAUUGCUCCUCUUUCCUUCACUUACCUCUGUGUCAUCAUUGUCAUCUUUGACUGUGAUGAAGAACAAGGACAGGUGGAAGAUGUUAGAGUGUGUUUGUCAUCCAUCCCUCUGAGAAUAGAGAAACAGGCUCACCAACAGUUAUUAUUGUUGGUGAUGACUGGAUGGUCUGUGUGUAAUAAAGCCUCAAGCAAAUAUUCAUGAUAAGUAAAGAAGGCUAAGGUUUUCAGUGCUCUGUUUGAAUAAGGGUAUGAUGUCCAUUGUGUUAAAACUGAACCAGUUAAAAAGUCUUUAAACUGCAGUUCAAACGAAACAGCUUCACUGGAAUGGUCCCAGUUUUUUCACUCUUAAUUUUUUGGAAACUUUCUGAUUUGUUAUUUGAAAAAGAAAAACGCUGUGAGUUCAAAUAUUUUUUUAUAUUUAUAAGUUUUUAUUUCUUUGGGACUAACUAUGUAGAAAGGUUUAACAUAUAAAUAAUUCGUACAGUAUCUAGGAAUACAAAAGGCAGUUAUAUGAGUAUGAGGAUUAUUAGGGGUCCCUGGGCCCCAAAUGUUUGAGGACCCUGUUUUAUUGACCCCACAAAGAUUUUUGUGUUUCAGCAGGAUGAUAAAGAGUAACAGUAGUGCAGUCCACAACACACAAUCAAUAAACAAACGUUUAAAGUGCCAGGCGUCUGUAAGGAGCUCAUACAGUGAGUUUGUAUUUUGAGUUAACUGGAUCACUGUGAUGCUGUGAAUUAAAACAGAAUCUGUCUUAGCUGCUACUAAUCUAAAAUUCUCCUCUGACAAAUUCACAUUUAUCCUAUUCCAGUGUUUGUCUUAAUUUUUGCUACUGUAACUUUGCACUCUCCACUAUCUGCUGUGAGACAACUAAUUUCCCAUGUGUGGGACUAAUAAAGGUGAUCUUAUCUUAAACUGGCUUUCGCUGUGGAGGCUUCAGAGACUCAUCUCUGCGUUUUGCAGAUGAUGUGGUUUCGCUGGCAGCCUCCAGCUCUCGCUGAAGACGUUUGCAGCCAUGUGUGAAGAAGCAGGAUUGAUAAUCAGGGACAAGUCGCUGCCCCGAGUGGAGGAGUUUAGGUAUCUCAGGGUUUUGUUUGAGUGAGGCAGAUGGAUUUGGGCCCUGGCAGCAGUGAUGUGGACGCUGCACAGGUUUGUCUGAAUGCUGUUCACCGAACUUUAAAUGCGCCUCAGUGAGACGGCUUUUAAAGCCAUCAGCUGCGACUGAACCAGCUGCUAACGGAUUUGCACCGAGUGGCAGGAUCCCUGACAGAUUCCUGCUGCUGACAGGACUUUCCUUUUUGCGGCUCUUUUCUUCAUGUGUUCAGAAUUUUCCUCUGUGUUAUUUCUCAUUAUUACACAUAACUUAAUUUAUGGCCAUCUAUGGUUUGAUUUCUUUCAAUGUGGAUUGGAUGAGCUGUUACCAACAUCUGGUGAGAAUUUGAUGUCAGUGGCACCUUUAGAAAUAUAAUUUCCUUUUUAUGAACACUGAAUCAGGAAGCUGCAUCCACCUGCUCUGCUUCUCACAGAGAGCAGAAUAAUAGUAGCAUAGCUCAGCUCAGAGCCCACAUUAAUGAGUUCAAGUAGCAGCAGCAGGUGAGUGAACUGAAUUCUGCUGAGAGCGUCUUUGUCCAGCAGAGGGCCCCGGAGAGUUUGCCAUGACUAAGGAGCACCUUCAGAGUGGAUUUCAGGUGAAGCUCCAUCAGCAGUGUUGGGCUGGUUUGUUUCUCUGUGUCUUGCAGCCAGUUUGAGGCUCUGUGACUUUUAAUAAAUGUCCAACGAUCACAUGAAGCUUUCAGGGACAGACAUGCGAGGACCAGAGUGGAGCACAGUUCUUCUCCAAGAAGAUUCCUACGAUCACUGAGUUUGGGUUUCUGUGGAGGUCUGCCACACAAAGUGCUCCAGAACAACUAAAUUUAAUGUCAGGGGGUAUAAAAACUGAUGCAGGCUGACGAAGCACAGUGUGACAGAGCAGCACCUGUUUUACAGUCACGUGAAGAAAAUCCAAACUCUCAUUCUAACGUGGAUUAAAAUCGUGGCCUGUGGUCGGCCACACAGUCACACCGUGAAGAUGAACAAGUGUGGCUGUUAGACGUGCUGCAGGAGAACGCCUCUUCUCUCUAAAAGAACAUGUUAGCAUAGCUUAGGUUUGCAAAGACUUCAGGAACAAACGAGACCAAAGUGGAGCUUGUCGUGGAAUUUUGUAAAUAAAGGCAGGAGAACACACAUACACAUCAAAACAUAGCAGGUUCAUAGUAACGAACCUCUAACCUCGGGGCGUCGCAGCGCCCCUUUCAUACCAUCGCACAAACUCUGUGUAUCUUUUCAGUUACAACAGUCUUUUGUCCAACCCGGGCUGUUGUUGAACACAGAAGACUCCCACUAUCCUUUCCCAGGCCAGCACCUGCCGCUGGCCCUGAGCUUCAUCCCUCUGAGCAAAACAGUUUGCAGAUAACAUAGUGAAACAUCGUUAGGCCUAGCUAAGCAGUUUUCACAAGGUCAUGCUGACACAUACUUGCUUCAUCUUAAGCAGGCAAAGGUUAUACAAGAGUCAUACAGUGAGAUUCCAAACACAUAAAUUUAAUGUGAGGAUAAACUAGAAUUUUCCAUAAGAAGAUGUUUGUCUAAACGCACAGCACGUUUGGAGGAAACAGCUGUCAGCAGCUGUCAGCACAGCAGUGGAAGGAUGAUGAUCUGUGUGGACCAUGAACUGUAUACCAAAGUAGUCAGUGUGAGGCCGUCUGUCCCACGGCUAAACUGGGUCAUCAACAGGACAGUGAUCCAAGCACAGCAGCAGACUCUCCAACACAAUGGCUGAAAAAGGAAAGAAUGGAGCUGCUGCAGAGGUCUGAUGCUGGGGUCGGACCUCCAGACAGCUCUGCAUAUCUCAGCUAAGGCUUGUGACAGAGCUGUCGAGUUUGUUAGUCACGUGUCAUAACGAAUGUGUCGACAUUUUGUAAAGGUUAAAUCAACAGCAUACAACAUUUUUGUGAAUGUUUUUAUGUUGUCAUAUAAUACGCUUUAUUGUUUAUUCUCUAUUAGAACACCUUACUGUGAAAAAUGAUUAUUUUAUGUUGCUUUGUACAGAUCUCACAGCAUCGUUGGUGCACCUGUGUCCAAUAAAUGCAGAACAGGGAAGAAAGAUGAACCAAUAGGAAUGUUUGAGACAUGAUGGAAAGGCUUCACCAAACUGGUCACUCUUGGCCUCCCUCCUCUCACAUGUGCCUGGAUAAAGGAUUUCCUCACAAACCGGCCCCAGACUGUGAGACUCGGCCCUCAUCUCUCCUCCACUCGCACACUGAGCACCGC